UACGGAGGGUGCAAGCGUUAUCCGGAUUUACUGGGUCUAAAGGGUGCGUAGGCGGCCUUGCAAGUCAGUGGUGAAAUACUGAUGCUCAACAUCAGAACUGCCAUUGAUACUACAAGGCUUGAGUAAAGGAGAGGUAGGCAGAAUUCAUGGUGUAGCGGUGAAAUGCUUAGAUACCAUGAGGAAUCUCAAUAGCGUAGGCAGCUUGCCAGCCUUUUACUGACGCUGAGGCACGAAAGCGUGGGUAGCAAAC
RNAcentral lists this ribosomal RNA (250 nucleotides) under uncultured bacterium. RNAcentral describes it as "partial 16S ribosomal RNA". It matches the Rfam family "Bacterial small subunit ribosomal RNA", at positions 524 to 773 of the family's 1533-position model. The record is from RNAcentral.